Molecule: non-coding RNA, 51 nt
Filed under: Trichobilharzia regenti
Lineage: Eukaryota; Metazoa; Platyhelminthes; Trematoda; Strigeidida; Schistosomatidae
Source: RNAcentral
AUCCAGUUGGUGACGAGUCCCAAAUAGGACGAAAUGCGCGUUGUCCUGGAU